This 489-nucleotide ribosomal RNA is filed under the name uncultured bacterium. Its description in RNAcentral is "partial 16S ribosomal RNA". It matches the Rfam family "Bacterial small subunit ribosomal RNA", at positions 30 to 506 of the family's 1533-position model. The record is from RNAcentral.
AUUGAACGCUGGCGGCAUGCUUUACACAUGCAAGUCGGACGGCAGCACAGAGAAGCUUGCUUCUUGGGUGGCGAGUGGCGAACGGGUGAGUAAUAUAUCGGAACGUACCGAGUAAUGGGGGAUAACUAAUCGAAAGAUUAGCUAAUACCGCAUAUUCUCUGAGGAGGAAAGCAGGGGACCUUCGGGCCUUGCGUUAUUCGAGCGGCCGAUAUCUGAUUAGCUAGUUGGUGGGGUAAAGGCCUACCAAGGCGACGAUCAGUAGCGGGUCUGAGAGGAUGAUCCGCCACACUGGGACUGAGACACGGCCCAGACUCCUCCGGGAGGCAGCAGUGGGGAAUUUUGGACAAUGGGCGCAAGCCUGAUCCAGCCAUGCCGCGUGUCUGAAGAAGGCCUUCGGGUUGUAAAGGACUUUUGUCAGGGAAGAAAAGGCUGUUGCUAAUAUCAAUAGCUGAUGACGGUACCUGAAGAAUAAGCACCGGCUAACUACGU